This is a non-coding RNA of Rattus norvegicus (Norway rat), 4052 nucleotides long. The record is from RefSeq and is a predicted model, not a curated record. NCBI's taxonomy places the organism in Eukaryota, Metazoa, Chordata, Mammalia, Rodentia, Muridae.
GGGGAAGGAGGAGGAGGAGGAGGAGGAAGAGGAAGAAGAGGAAGAGGAAGAGGAGGAGAAAGAAGAAGAGGGGCAGAAAGUGCCCUGUGGCAUAACCGUGCCACAUACAGAAAACAGGGUUUUAUUCCUCAGCUCUCUUUUUGAUGGGAGCUUCAUGCUCUCAUCACUUGUGGCAGAGAGAAGGAAAAUAAAUGUGUACAAGAACCCUGUUCUAAAAUAAAACCACCCAUAGCAGUAACCUUGAAAGAUGACUUCAAGAGCCUCUCCCUCCCACCUUGACGUUUUAAUGGGGUCGGCAGUUUGAGCUUCUUUGUAAUGGAAACCAGAAGAACUCUUAAAGGAAAAGGCCACAAGAGCAGGCCCAGCAGCUUUUGUGUCUAACUGUAUCAGCUCCGUCUCAGCAAAUGGCAAAGUUGCCCGACAGGCAAUUACUGCUGUUCCUAAUUGCUUCUAUCAAACCCGGCUGUUGGAAAUACCUAGUGCCCCCAUACCCAGGCAUGCUUCAGCCAACCCGAUUUUCUUGGCUUUGGUUAAUGCUCUAUUUUUGGCACACUGGAUGCUGUCUGGCAAUUGAGUCCAUUCAGACGUGUUAAACUUUCCAAAGACCCUCUUUGAUCAAUGCCAGAAGAUGAUCUAAUUAGGUUCUGUCUUAAGGAGAAAAAUGGCAAAGCACAAUGUCUCCUGUGUUCUUUGUCAGGGCCCCGAGAGAGAGGAUGAAAGCUCCUUCAGAGCUCUGCCCAUAGCUGUCCACAGAGAAAUGGGUAUUUGUACAGGAAACUAUGGAUGCCCCAGGGAAAGGAUGAAUUUUGAUUUUAAAGUAAGUACACUCUGGCAUAUUGCUCAAUGUAGGAAGCAAAAAUUUUAGCAAUAUUUUAUUAGUUCUCUGAAAGCGCUAUACAAUGUAUUUUGAGCACACACGCGCACACACACACGAAAAAUCUCCCCUUAUCUCCCUCUUCAUCCUCUUAUCUUUUCCAAUCCAACUUUGAGAGAUCUCCAUCUUUUCCCCUUUCCCCAUGAAGUCCAGUUGGUGUUACUCAGCUAGUCUUGAGAGUGAGGCCUGUCCUGGCAUAUGGUCAACUAUCAGUGGUGACAUCGUUGAGGCAAAUUGACUCCAUUUCCCCAGCAGCUUUCCGAUGCCAAGAGCUCCUCAGCUGUGGAAGAGUUCAUAGCCAUCUUUACCACUCUAUGUGGGGAAUUUUGGCCAGAGCUCGCACAAACCUUGUGCAUGCUUUCACAAUCACUGUGAACUCAAAUGUACAACUGCCCUGUUCUGUUUGGAGAACACUUUUUCCCUGAUGGGAAACAACCUCACAAUCUUCCUGCUUCAAGUUUUGUUUUUUCUUUUUUAAUUUAAAAUCUUUCCAAUGUGAUUAAAUUACAGCUCCUGUUAUUUCCCUCCACCAUGUUUUAAAGUGUUCACUGGUGCGAGUACCUCGAUCAGGUUGAACAUGAGCUAGGCUUUCUAGUGCAUCUCUUCAACUCAUUCUCCAAGAACCGGCAGCAAUUCACUUUCAAAACUGUACCUCCACUAAAGGGUUACUUUACAGUGGGAUCUCAGGUACUACAGAAAGAAAAAUCUAGACGGAGCUGGUGUUUUCUAUGACCAGAUAUUGUAGAAUUAGUGCAAACCAGUCGCUAUAAAGAUGAAUAGAAACAUGACAAACUGUGGAGAGGAAGUAGGAUAUGAUAUCAGAGUUAUUACAGUACUGAACAUGUCAUUUUCAAUAAAAACGAUCAUGUAUGCAAAGGAACGGGAAAGUAAGGCGGACGCACAGAAUGAAUAUAAACUCUCCCCGAGGAGUCUGACACUGUGGUAACUAAAGACUGUAAAGCCACUGUCCUAUAAACAGAAUCCCAUGAUAAAAACCAUGCAAAAAGUGAAGAAAAUAUGAAAAACGAUGCCUUUCGAGUGGAGAAUAGCUACAAAGGAAUAUUUGUAAACAUUCUGGAAACUCUGGAGUUAAAGCGUAAAACCACUAAAGUGAAUUCAACUGGUACUACUUGCACAAAUAUGUCGCGCCCAACCUCGACCAGCAAGGAAGACACGACCAGCGAAGAUCUUCUUCAGGCAGUUUUACUCAGGAACCUUGAUACAAUCUUCUAAUCCCGGGGAAUCCCCGCACCACACUUAAAUAGCUAGCGCUGGCCAAUCCUAGCAAGCCACGUGGGGAUAGCGGAUAGGUUGUAUCUAUGCGGAAGCGACCAGGCCAAGCAGGAACAGCCAAAUAAGGACUUGUUUUUAGCGGAAGGCAGAAACAGGACUUGUUUUUCACAAGGAGCGGUAGGCGGAAACCGGCGCCAUCUCUGGGGCGCAGGACCUCGCAGCUCCCUACACAAAUGUGAGCGCCCAGCUUCUUGCUCCCGCCAUCAUGCCUGCCACUUACAGCCUUCCCUUCGUGCCACGAUGUACUCAUUCUUCCGGAACUGAUGUGGAAAGCUUUGGAACUUGGAACCAGAUAAUAGUUGAAUGCUGGAUGUAAGCAGAGCUUUCACGGCCAUCCUAAUAGGAGCCUAUAAGAUAACCACGCUGAGAGCAACGUUGACUAUGGAGGCCCAGCUCAAGGCAUUUCAGACGGGAACAAUACUGACAACAGGACUAGAGGCUGUUCCUGUGAGAGUCUGGCAAACAAAGAUCUGGCUGCCUUCAACCUUGGUUCUCAGUACUUGCCUGAGUCAAGCCUUUAAAUUGAUGGACUACUUUCUUUGGCAGAAGACAGGGUAACCUUGAAUCUGUGGUGCUGCUUUUGGUAAUGCUUAUGCUGAUUUGCAAUAAAAAAAAAAGGGCAAGUGGAUCAGAAAGAAAUAAAGCUGUUUGGAGAGAAAAAGAGCAUUAAAAGGCUUAGAGUUAUAGAGGAGGCUUGCGCUGGAAGAGAGGUUAAGGAAAUUAGCACCCUCUAGGAGAGACUGAUCUUCAUUGGAACAAAGGAUAGGUGCCCUCAGGGCAAGACUCCACCCAGCUGAGCUUCCAACUUAGGAAAAGGAAAAGGCCUAAGGAAUGUUCUAAACCUAGAAAAUCACAGCAAACAAAAUCUGCUGCUAUUGCAGUUAUGGGAUUCAGGGUCCACCCCAACUUGGCAGCUGUACGUGGUAGUGUCGUCCAUGUGGUAUUGGCUUUAGAGGCUGAAAAAUGUAAGAGCGAAGGGGUCAUGGAUUCUCUGUUUUCAGGGAGCUACUGAAGCCAGGCAACAUGUGGCUGGGGAGUCCCUUGCAUGACAGGCCUGAAAAAUUAGAGGCUGUGAGAGACCUGAAGAGCAUGAAGCUGUGUAACACUAAGAUGUUGGGGAUGCUGGAGCCUUGGGAUAUCUGGCAAGGAGAGCUGCAUACAAGGGUGGAACUAACUCAAGACAAAAGAGAGGCACACACUACAGGCAGCAAAGAUGGCGGAACAAAGAUCAGGGGAUUCUUCGACACCAUUCAGGGAACUACAGUGUUUGCUAGGCUGAGGUUCAGAAUUCCGCACCAUAUCCCCUUUCCCCCCAUUUGAAAUAGUGAUGUAUAUUCUGUUCUGCUGCGUGUUGAAAGCAUGAAAUUUUAUUUUUAUUUUUACAGAAGCUUACAAUUAAGAAAUUGUCUUCAGUCUGAGAAGAGUUUUUAGACUUUGGGAUUUUAAACAACGUUGAAAUUGUGAAAGACCAUGGCAACAUUUGGAGUUGGACUGAAGCUAAGCGUAUCUUGCAUUGUGAUGUGGCCAUGAGCCUUUAGGAGCCAAGGAAUGGAAUGUGGGGGGUAUAAAUGAGAAUGUCCCCCACAGGCUUGGAUGUUUGAAUACCUGGUCCCCAGUUGGUGGUGCUGUUUGUUGGGGAGGGGGCUCACGAGAACCAGCCUUUCUAGGGGAUGUUUGUUACUGGAGGCUGGCUUUGACGGUUAAUAUUAUAUACCAUUACUACUUUCCUCUCCCUGAGAUAGAAAAGUAUGUUUCCAGUUCUAGUUGUGAGCUCUCUCUCUCAGCUUCCUGCUCCAGCUGCCAUGUCUGUUACUCAUUGCUAUGCCUUUCUACCACGAUGGACUAUUAGCCCUCUGUAAGCCCAAAUAAACAGUUCCUUCUAUAA